UACGUAGGGGGCUAGCGUUGUCCGGAAUUAUUGGGCGUAAAGAGCUCGUAGGCGGUUUGUUGCGUCGGCUGUGAAAUCCCGAGGCUCAACCUCGGGUCUGCAGUCGAUACGAGCAAACUAGAGUGUUGCAGGGGAGACUGGAAUUCCUGGUGUAGCGGUGAAAUGCGCAGAUAUCGAGAGGAACACCGGUGGCGAAGGCGGCCUUCUGGACAGCCACUGACGCUGAGACGCGAAAGCGUGGGGAGCAAACAGG
This 253-nucleotide ribosomal RNA is filed under the name uncultured bacterium. RNAcentral describes it as "partial 16S ribosomal RNA". It matches the Rfam family "Bacterial small subunit ribosomal RNA", at positions 524 to 776 of the family's 1533-position model. The record is from RNAcentral.